This 712-nucleotide ribosomal RNA is filed under the name Listeria monocytogenes. RNAcentral describes it as "partial 23S ribosomal RNA". It matches the Rfam family "Bacterial large subunit ribosomal RNA", at positions 1188 to 1907 of the family's 2925-position model. Lineage: Bacteria; Bacillati; Bacillota; Bacilli; Caryophanales; Listeriaceae. The record is from RNAcentral.
AGUUUACCGAAGCUGUGGAGUGCACCAUCAGGUGCAUUGGUAGGAGAGCGUUCUAAGGGCGUUGAAGGCAGAUCGUGAGGACUGCUGGAGCGCUUAGAAGUGAGAAUGCCGGUAUGAGUAGCGAAAGACAGGUGAGAAUCCUGUCCACCGAAUGACUAAGGUUUCCUGGGGAAGGCUCGUCCGCCCAGGGUUAGUCGGGACCUAAGCCGAGGCCGACAGGCGUAGGCGAUGGACAACAGGUUGAUAUUCCUGUACCCGUUGUUUUUGUUUGAGCAAUGGAGGGACGCAGGAGGCUAAGAAGUGCAGACUGAUGGAUAUGUCUGUUCAAGCAGUAAGUCUUGGUAGGAGUCAAAUGCUUCUACCUAUACGGACAAGCUGUGAUGAGGAGGGAAAUAAUAGUACCGAAGCUUCUGAUGUCACACUGCCAAGAAAAGCUUCUAGUGAGAAAACAACGGCCCGUACCGCAAACCGACACAGGUAGUCGAGGAGAGAAUCCUAAGGUGAGCGAGAGAACUCUCGUUAAGGAACUCGGCAAAAUGACCCCGUAACUUCGGGAGAAGGGGUGCUGCUCUAACGAGCAGCCGCAGUGAAUAGGCCCAAGCGACUGUUUAUCAAAAACACAGGUCUCUGCAAAAUCGAAAGAUGACGUAUAGGGGCUGACGCCUGCCCGGUGCUGGAAGGUUAAGAGGAGUGCUUAGCGUAAGCGAAGGUA